This 659-nucleotide long non-coding RNA is filed under the name Homo sapiens (human). Its description in RNAcentral is "HSALNT0325905". The record is from RNAcentral. Lineage: Eukaryota; Metazoa; Chordata; Mammalia; Primates; Hominidae.
CCAGGUCACCCUGGGACUCUGUGGCUGGAACACCAUUCCUCUAGGUGUCGACAUCGGUUUUCACCAGCUGCAUGCUAGCUAUUCCUGAUGUCUGUAAAGCGGGUAGAUCACUCUCAACACUCUUCCAUCUAUGAUCUCACUGUAUCCUUGCCAUGAUUGGGUGCUCUCCCAAUUUAACAAAUAUGUAAACACGGUCCCAGAGAGCCCAAGUGACUUGUCUAAAGUCACACAGCCAGGAGCUGAGCUGGGACAAUAAUCCAGACAUGUUGCUUCUCAAUGGCUUUCACUUCCUAAUCCCAUAGACUGUGACUCUCAAGAACUACAUGUUGCCUCCAAAGUCCUCUGUCUCACAUGAACAUGAGAAAGCCGGGACAGGAGGGGCUUUCUGACACUCCAUGGAACCUUCUCAAGCAGACAGUGAGCAACACGUGUGUCUAUACCAUAUAGUCCAGCUUCAAUCAAUGGUCUCCUUGCUCCAGUUACUCAGUUGAGCUGCAGAAACUUCUGGUUGGUCUGUGAUUGAUGGAAAGGCCUGAUUCUGUGCAGAUGUAAUUCUUCUAAAAACAGGAGGUGCCCUCCAGGCACAAAUGUCUAGGAAACCAUGAAAAUAAAAAGGCAGCACUGAUUCCAAAGUCUUGUUGACCAAACUUUUAAGAUAG